AGGCUGAGGCAGAGAGAAACUGCUAGCAGCCACCAUGACAAGCCACAUGUGAAGACGCUGGUAAGCCACCAGCCACGUGGCAAGAUUUUUAAGACCUCAAACUGGAUGUGGAAGGAGAUGAAAGCCUGCUAAGAGGAAGACCAAAUGCUUGAAUCCUUGAUUUGGACUUUCCAUGAUCUUUUGACACCCUUGCCGCUCAGCUCCUCUUCUACAAAAUACAAACAGUAGAACAUUUCUAUAGCCUGACUGUGUUACUCAGAUCAUGAAGACCUUUCAUGAAGCAAGUUAAGAAGCAUCUCUCCAUUCCUUGCUCACUUCUGAAGUCUCUUCCUCUAACUACAGCUAGGAAGCCUGCUCCACUUUUACAUCAUGCCCAUGGAGUUAACCUAGGAUAAAAAUUCCCAUCUUACAGUUCAUAUCUCAAUCCUUUUUUACUACAUAAAGUAACGUGUCUUCAAUGCUAAGGACCAUUGCUCUUCCUACCACCUCAGCCAAGGAUUGGAAAUGAAAAAAAAAAAAAAUGGUCAAGUUAUAAAUAAAUAAAUGUGGCAGCAAACAGGAAAAUGUCUUCAUUCUGUUAUAUCCUGAAGGCUAUCCCCAUGUAUAAUUGCUUUUAUCCUGAUAAUCUGAAAAUGUCAUUGUUUUUCAGAAUUCCUUUUACGAGAUAAACAAGUGAGUGUAGCAGCAGAUAGAUAUGUGCUAGAAAAUGUAAGGAUCAUAUGUAAGAUGUAAGAAAUUGUUUUAGUCAUCUCCUUGAAGAAGAACUAUUGGCUAGGUGUUUUUCUGAAAAA
Molecule: non-coding RNA, 791 nt
Organism: Peromyscus maniculatus bairdii (prairie deer mouse)
Lineage: Eukaryota; Metazoa; Chordata; Mammalia; Rodentia; Cricetidae
Source: RefSeq, a predicted model, not a curated record